UACGAAGGGGGCUAGCGUUGCUCGGAAUCACUGGGCGUAAAGGGUGCGUAGGCGGGUCUUUAAGUCAGGGGUGAAAUCCUGGAGCUCAACUCCAGAACUGCCUUUGAUACUGAGGAUCUUGAGUCCGGGAGAGGUGAGUGGAACUGCGAGUGUAGAGGUGAAAUUCGUAGAUAUUCGCAAGAACACCAGUGGCGAAGGCGGGUCUCUGGACAGUUCCUGACGCUGAGGCACGAAGGCCAGGGGAGCAAACGGG
This 253-nucleotide ribosomal RNA is filed under the name uncultured bacterium. Its description in RNAcentral is "partial 16S ribosomal RNA". It matches the Rfam family "Bacterial small subunit ribosomal RNA", at positions 524 to 776 of the family's 1533-position model. The record is from RNAcentral.